CUCACCUCCAGGGCCACCGUUCGUUGAUAUUGACUGCCCAUCUGAACGAAAGGCAAUCAUGAGGUCACGAUCGUCCCUUUUAAAAGAGGAUAGAGGCAACAAGCACAUAGUUCGUGCUGCAUAUGGAUCCAACAGGAGACCGAUCCUGACUGCAGCACAGGCGCCAUCGCUCAUGAUAUAUACUUUUCUUCGA
Gadus macrocephalus (Pacific cod) is the source of this 193-nucleotide long non-coding RNA. RefSeq lists it as uncharacterized. NCBI's taxonomy places the organism in Eukaryota, Metazoa, Chordata, Actinopteri, Gadiformes, Gadidae. The record is from RefSeq and is a predicted model, not a curated record. The transcript is spliced from 2 exons.